AGUGGCGGACGGGUGAGUAACGCGUGAGAAUCUACCUUCAGGACGGGGACAACAGCUGGAAACGGCUGCUAAUACCCGAUAUGCCGAAAGGUGAAAAGUUUUUUCGCCUGGAGAGGAGCUCGCGUCCGAUUAGCUAGUUGGUGAGGUAAAAGCUUACCAAGGCGACGAUCGGUAGCUGGUCUGAGAGGAUGAGCAGCCACACUGGAACUGAGACACGGUCCAGACUCCUACGGGAGGCAGCAGUGGGGAAUUUUCCGCAAUGGGCGAAAGCCUGACGGAGCAACGCCGCGUGGGGGAAGAAGGUUUUUGGAUUGUAAACCCCUUUUCUCAAGGAAGAACAAAAUGACGGUACUUGAGGAAUCAGCCUCGGCUAACUCCGUGCCAGCAGCCGCGGUAAUACGGAGGAGGCAAGCGUUAUCCGGAAUUAUUGGGCGUAAGCGUUCGUAGGCGGCUGUUCAAGUCUGCUGUCAAAGACCGAGGCUCAACCUCGGGUAGGCAGUGGAAACUGGAUAGCUAGAGGUCGGUAGGGGCAGAGGGAAUUCCCAGUGUAGCGGUGAAAUGCGUAGAUAUUGGGAAGAACACCGGUGGCGAAAGCGCUCUGCUGGGCCGAACCUGACGCUGAGGGACGAAAGCUAGGGGAGCGAAUGGGAUUAGAUACCCC
RNAcentral lists this ribosomal RNA (661 nucleotides) under uncultured bacterium. Its description in RNAcentral is "bacterial SSU rRNA". It matches the Rfam family "Bacterial small subunit ribosomal RNA", at positions 94 to 788 of the family's 1533-position model. The record is from RNAcentral.